Molecule: ribosomal RNA, 752 nt
Filed under: Leioderma erythrocarpum
Lineage: Eukaryota; Fungi; Ascomycota; Lecanoromycetes; Peltigerales; Pannariaceae
Description: SSU rRNA
Rfam family: Bacterial small subunit ribosomal RNA
Source: RNAcentral
AAUGGCCUAACGGCUGAACCAGCAACUUGGAAGAAUGAAUGGCAAUAGCCAAUUGUAUUAAUAUGGUUUUUACAAUAUCGACUAUGUCGAAUAAAAUUCGAGAUAAAUUUAUGAUGAUGACAUUAUUUAUCUGUGUGUCUUGACUAAAUUACGUGCCAGCAGUCGCGGUAAUACGUAGCAGACUAGUGUUAUUCAUCUUUAAUAGGUUUAAAGUGUACCCAGGCGGUUGAUAUAGCCUAAAUAAGGUACUAUAUUUAACUAGAGUUAUAUAUGUAAUGGUGCAAGAAGGUACUGUUGAGUGUAGAGAUUAAAUUCUAUCAUACCAGAUGAGUGGCACAGGUUUAGGCGAAAGCAUCACUUUAUGUAAUAACUGACGUUGGCGGACGAAGGCUUAGAUAACGAACAGGAUUAGGUACCCCAGUAGUCUUUGCAGAUAAUGAUGAAUGUCAUAGGUAAAAAAAAUACUUUGUCUAUAAAUGAAAGUGUAAGCAUUCCACCUCAAGAGUAAUUUGGCAACAUUGGAACUGAAAUCAUUAGACCGUUUCUGAAACCAGUAGUGAAGUAUGUUGUUUAAUUUGAUGACCCUCAAAAAACCUUACCACAAUUUGAAUAUUAAUAAUGAUUUUUACAAGCGUUGCACGGCUGUCUUCAGUUAAUAUCGUGAGAUUUUGGUUAGUUCCAUAGAAUUAACGUAAACCCUUACUUUAUUUUUAAAUAAAGUUGUUCACCGCUAUAUUGGAUAUGAUAACAGG